This 306-nucleotide ribosomal RNA is filed under the name uncultured Nitrospira sp. RNAcentral describes it as "bacterial SSU rRNA". It matches the Rfam family "Bacterial small subunit ribosomal RNA", at positions 372 to 670 of the family's 1533-position model. Lineage: Bacteria; Pseudomonadati; Nitrospirota; Nitrospiria; Nitrospirales; Nitrospiraceae. The record is from RNAcentral.
UGGGGGCNACCCUGAUCCAGCCAUUCCGCGUGAGUGAAGAAGGCCUUCGGGUUGUAAAGCUCUUUCGGCAGGAACGAAACGGCGGGGGCUAAUAUCCCCUGUCAAUGACGGUACCUGAAGAAGAAGCACCGGCUAACUACGUGCCAGCAGCCGCGGUAAUACGUAGGGUGCGAGCGUUAAUCGGAAUUACUGGGCGUAAAGCGUGCGCAGGCGGUUCUAUAAGACAGAUGUGAAAUCCCCGGGCUUAACCUGGGAACUGCGUUUGUGACUGUAGGACUGGAGUGUGGCAGAGGAGCGCGGAAUUCC